UAGAUUCCUUAGGAUGUUUAUACAUAAAAUAUGUCCACAAAUACGAAGUUGGUCUUACAGAACUGGGGAUAGUACCUCUGAUAUCGUUUGAGUGAAUUGCUGGUUACAUACCGCCAAAAGCUAAGAUAAGCAGCAGCAGAGGAAAUUUUGUGGACUGUCUGCUCCCUAACUCCUCCCUGCAUCAGAUCUCCCUUCAGGACCCUGGGCUCCUCUCCAGUUCCCUGGCCUCUCUUCUGGGACGUAGAACUCAUUCCUGUGCAUGUAUAAGAAUGCUGAUGCCUUAUUCCUCCAUGGCCAGGGAAUAUGUUCAUGAUACAGGAAGAGGACAAGAAAAUGAGCAUUCAUGUGGAAGUAUUAGACAUCUCUCUAGGCGGGUAUUUCAGUACAGGGUCUACCCAGCCCCCUUCAAAUCUGCCCUGUAAGUGACUGCAGAAGUUGAAACUUCCAAUACUUGAGGCUCCAUCUUAGAGGCAUCAUUCCUCAUUUGGAAACAUCAUUGCCAGAGGCAGAAAUGGCCCAGCAAGUAAACUGUUUUUGGGGGGUAAAUAAAAUCAAUUAUUAAAUAAAAUAUUGCAGAAGACUGUAGUUAUAUAGGAAAACUUUUUGAAUUUACAUAACAAUGAGAUAUGAAAGGGAAGAAUUCAAUUCUACCCGCGUGGAACUGACAAUAGGAAAAAUGUUCUCCCUUUCAGACUUGAGAAGGUUUUACUGCUAAGAUCUGCGGAUGGAAUAAUCAGGCUGAAUACAAACAUGCUUUUCUUCUCCGAUAGUGCUUAGGAAGCAGUGGUACUUGCACAACUGUUUGUAAGGGGGAGUGAAGUGAGUUGUCAUCUCAUAGUAAUCUGCCUCUCUCUAUCAUCGGCACAGUUCCUAUUUUUUAUUCCCCUCUGGCUUGCUUAGAUUUUCUUUUGGUCUAUUCUCCUGAAAAGUCUUAGACAGCAUGAGCUAAUAUCAACUAAAUCUUAAAUAUUUAAAGGCAGGCACAAUAUCUGGUAGUUACUGGGUUAUGACCAUGUAAUGCUUGGUGUGA
RNAcentral lists this long non-coding RNA (1030 nucleotides) under Pan troglodytes (chimpanzee). RNAcentral's name for it is "long non-coding RNA NONPTRT015203". The record is from RNAcentral. Lineage: Eukaryota; Metazoa; Chordata; Mammalia; Primates; Hominidae.